UUGCGGAGGUAGAGCACUGAAUUUCCUAGGGGGCGUCAAAGCCUACCGAAGAAUAUCAAACUCCGAAUGCCGUGUAGAUAUCACCGGGAGUCAGACUGCACGAGAUAAGUUGGGCGGUCAAAAGGGAAAGAGCCCAGACCUACAGUUAAGGUCCCAAAGUGCGCGUUAAGUGGAAAAGGAUGUGGGAUUUCGAAGACAACCAGGAUGUUGGCUCAGAAGCAGCCAUACAUUCAAAGAGUGCGUAAUAGCUCACUGGUCGAGAGGUCCUGCGCCGAAAAUGUCCGGGGCUGAAACGCGCCACCGAAACUAAGGAAUCUGAAAAGAUUGGUAGAGGAGCAUUGCAUGCGGGAAGAAGCAGUACCGGAAGGAGCUGUGGACUGCAUGGAAGAGAGAAUGCCGGAAUGAGUAGCGAGAUAGAGGUGGGAAUCCUCUAGGCCGAAUAUCCAAGGUUUCCAGAGUAAAGCUGAUCUGCUCUGGGUAAGUCGGGGCCUAAGGCGAGGACGAGAGUCGUAGCCGAUGGACAACAGGUGGAGAUUCCUGUACUGCGGUAUGACAGAACUGUGGGGACACGUAAGGAAAGCGGAAGCCGGGAAUGGAAAGCCCGGUGCAAGCGGGGUACCAGUCACUUUGGCAAAUCCGGGUGGCAAUGGGAAGCCGUGAUGCGGAGCGAAAUAAAGUAGCGAAGUCCGUGAGCCAUGCGUCAAGAAAAGCCGCUAUUGUUUAUACCGUACCCGUACCGUAAACCGACACAGGUGGAUGAGGAGAGAAUCCUAAGGCCGGCGGAAGAAGCAUUGUCAAGGAACUCGGCAAAAUGACCCCGUAACUUCGGGAGAAGGGGUGCCUGCGAGAGCAGGCCGCAGAGAAUAGGCUCAAGCAACUGUUUAGCAAAAACACAGGUCUAUGCGAAACCGAAAGGUGAGGUAUAUGGGCUGACGCCUGCCCGGUGCUGGAAGGUUAAGAGGAGAGGUUAGCGCAAGCGAAGCUUUGAAUUUAAGCCCCAGUAAACGGCGGCCGUAACUAUAACGGUCCUAAGGUAGCGAAAUUCCUUGUCGGGUAAGUUCCGACCCGCACGAAAGGCGUAAUGAUUUGAGCGCUGUCUCGACAAUGCAUCCGGUGAAAUUGAAGUACCAGUGAAGAUGCUGGUUACCUGCGCCAGGACGGAAAGACCCCAUGGAGCUUUACUCCAGUCUGGUACUGGGACUCGGUAUUGCAUGUACAGGAUAGGUGGGAGGCUAGGAGAUGGUAACGCCAGUUGCCAUGGAGCCGCUGUUGGGAUACCACCCUUGCAGUAUUGGGUUUCUAACCAGCCGCCGUGACCCGGCGGUGGGACAAUGCCAGACGGGGAGUUUGACUGGGGCGGUCGCCUCCGAAAGGGUAUCGGAGGCGCCCAAAGGUUCCCUCAGAAUGGACGGAAACCAUUCGAAGAGUGCAAAGGCAGAAGGGAGCUUGACUGCGACACCGACGGGUGGAGCAGGUACGAAAGUAGGACUUAGUGAUCCGGUGGUAUAAAGUGGGAUUGCCAUCGCUCAACGGAUAAAAGCUACCCUGGGGAUAACAGGCUUAUCACUCCCAAGAGUUCACAUCGACGGAGUGGUUUGGCACCUCGAUGUCGGCUCAUCGCAUCCUGGGGCUGUAGUAGGUCCCAAGGGUUGGGCUGUUCGCCCAUUAAAGC
This 1672-nucleotide ribosomal RNA is filed under the name human gut metagenome. RNAcentral describes it as "bacterial LSU rRNA". It matches the Rfam family "Bacterial large subunit ribosomal RNA", at positions 894 to 2594 of the family's 2925-position model. The record is from RNAcentral.